GAUGAACGCUGGCGGCGUGCUUAAUACAUGCAAGUCGAGCGAACAGACGAGGAGUUUGUUGCUUUGUCGUUUGCGGCGGACGGGUGAGAAACGCGUGGAUAAUCCACUUCUAUGACUGGGAUAACUUCGGGAAACCGGAGCUUAUACCGGAUAAUAUAUUGAACCGUAUGGUUCAAUAGUGAAAGACGGUUUUGCUGUCACUUAUAGAUGGAUCCGCGCCGCAUUAGCUAGUUGGUAAGGUAACGGCUUACCAAGGCGACGAUGCGUAGCCGACCUGAGAGGGUGAGCGGCCACACGAGAACGUAGACACGGUCUAGACUCCUGCGAGAGGCAGCAGUAGUGAAGCUGCCGCAAUGGGCGAAAAUCUGACGGAGCGACGCCGCGUGAGUGAUGGAGGUCGUCUGGGCGUAAAACUCUGUUAUUAGGUAAGAACAAAUGUGUAAGUAACUAUGGACGUCUUGACGGUACCUGGUCAGGAAGCCACGGCUAACUACGUG
RNAcentral lists this ribosomal RNA (497 nucleotides) under uncultured bacterium. RNAcentral's name for it is "partial 16S ribosomal RNA". It matches the Rfam family "Bacterial small subunit ribosomal RNA", at positions 28 to 507 of the family's 1533-position model. The record is from RNAcentral.